This 415-nucleotide ribosomal RNA is filed under the name Platyophrya macrostoma. Its description in RNAcentral is "partial Bacterial small subunit ribosomal RNA". It matches the Rfam family "Bacterial small subunit ribosomal RNA", at positions 369 to 776 of the family's 1533-position model. The record is from RNAcentral. Lineage: Eukaryota; Ciliophora; Colpodea; Cyrtolophosidida; Platyophryidae.
CAAUGGGCGAAAGCCUGAUCCAGCAAUGCCGCGUGCAGGAUGAAGGCCUUCGGGUUGUAAACUGCUUUUGUACGGAACGAAAAAGCUUCUCCUAAUACGAGAGGCCCAUGACGGUACCGUAAGAAUAAGCACCGGCUAACUACGUGCCAGCAGCCGCGGUAAUACGUAGGGCGCAAGCGUUAUCCGGAAUUAUUGGGCGUAAAGAGCUCGUAGGCGGUUUGUCGCGUCUGCUGUGAAAUCCCGAGGCUCAACCUCGGAACUGCCUUUCAUACUGGCAAUCUUGAGUCCGGGAGAGGUGAGUGGAACUCCUAGUGUAGAGGUGAAAUUCGUAGAUAUUCGCAAGAACACCGGUGGCGAAGGCGGCCAACUGGUCCGAAACUGACGCUGAGGCGCGAAAGCGUGGGGAGCAAACAGG